GAUGAACGCUGGCGGCGUGCCUAAUACAUGCAAGUAGAACGCUGAAGGAAGGAGCUUGCUCUUUCCGGAUGAGUUGCGAACGGGUGAGUAACGCGUAGGUAACCUGCCUGGUAGCGGGGGAUAACUAUUGGAAACGAUAGCUAAUACCGCAUAACAGUAGAUGUUGCAUGACAACUAUUUGAAAGGGGCAAUUGCUCCACUACCAGCUGGACCUGCGUUGUAUUAGCUAGUUGGUGAGGUAACGGCUCACCAAGGCGACGAUACAUAGCCGACCUGAGAGGGUGAUCGGCCACACUGGGACUGAGACACGGCCCAGACUCCUACGGGAGGCAGCAGUAGGGAAUCUUCGGCAAAGGACGGAAGUCUGACCGAGCAACGCCGCGUGAGUGAAGAAGGUUUUCGGAUCGUAAAGCUCUGUUGUAAGAGAAGAACGAGUGUGAGAGUGGAAAGUUCACACUGUGACGGUAUCUUACCAGAAAGGGACGGCUAACUACGUG
This 497-nucleotide ribosomal RNA is filed under the name uncultured bacterium. RNAcentral describes it as "partial 16S ribosomal RNA". It matches the Rfam family "Bacterial small subunit ribosomal RNA", at positions 28 to 507 of the family's 1533-position model. The record is from RNAcentral.